GAAGGAGGUGGGCGGGCCUCCGGCACGUCCGGCUCUCCGAUUGGUCGGCUCGCUGUCGUUGCGUGCGGCGGUGGGGAGAUCGUCUCGGCGUCCCGUGUGAUCCCGGCGCGGCUGCGGACAGAUGGCGUCCAACUAUAGAAAACCUGGCUUGACUACAGCCCAGCGAAAGAAAAGUGGCUUGAAACCUGAACUUACAGAAGAGCAAAAGCAGGAGAUCAGAGAAGCUUUUGAUUUGUUUGAUACCGAUGGAUCGGGAAGCAGGAUGCAUUUCAACCAGACUGCUAAGAGAACGGGACGGUGCCACCAUUGGGACAUCUUGCGAAGAACUUUUUGGCCUAUGAUGACACAAAAAAUGAGUGAAAAGGAUUCAAAGGAAGAAAUUUGAAAGCUUUCAGAUUAUUUGAUGAUGAUGGGACAGGAAAGAUUUCAUUCAAAAACCUGAAAAGGGUGCCAAGGAGCUGGGAGAAAAUUUAACAGAUGAAGAGCUUCAGGAAAUGAUUGAUGAAGCUGAUCGAGAUGGAGAUGGAGAAGUAAGUGAGCAAGAAUUUUUGAGAAUCAUGAAGAAAACAAGCUUAUAUUAGGAUUUGUUGCCUUACAGCUGUUCCAAAAGACGACAGGGAAAAGACUUAAAAAUGGGUUUGUAUCUCCUGCAUAUUAUGCUAUGUAAGGAAAGUCUGAAAGGACAGACUUUCGUCUCAUUCUUCUUUUUCACCAAAGUUAGUUUCUGGGAGGGGGCUCUGGUACCAAACAAACUGUUCGAGUGAGAUACUGCAGAAAUACAAAUAAUAUGGCAGAACUGAAAAGGAAGGAUGAACUGAGCUGGCAAGGGAGGGUCCCUUUCCCCUCUGGCCCACAAAUGAAGGUUUCACUAAUUGCCAUUUUGGAUAAAGAAUGCUGUGUCUUAAGCAGAUAAUUCAAACAGCCUCAAAACAUUUCACUUGGGUUGUGAAAGUACUGCUGUUUCUGAGAGAAGCCCAUUCUCACCUUCCCAGGGCUACAUAAUAGAUAUCAUCUCAUAACACCUUAAAGAACCAAAGUAUAAGCACAGUAUUUUUAUUCCAUUUAAGGCUUUUAGGUGAUCUUUGUGUCCUUUUGUUUAUUUCCAUUAAAGACUCAAAAAUCAAUUUAUACUUAUUUCUGUAUUAAACACUCUAUUCUCCCAGCAAGUUCAUUUUGGACCUAGUGGGAAACAAAGGCAUAUAACUAGUUUUUGGUUCUUCAUUCCGAGCAGCAUGCCACCAAUAAACCGCUUCUCCUUUAA
Molecule: non-coding RNA, 1261 nt
Organism: Coturnix japonica (Japanese quail)
Lineage: Eukaryota; Metazoa; Chordata; Aves; Galliformes; Phasianidae
Source: RefSeq, a predicted model, not a curated record